AACGAACGCUGGCGGCAUGCCUAACACAUGCAAGUCGAACGAGACCUUCGGGUCUAGUGGCGCACGGGUGCGUAACGCGUGGGAACCUGCCCUUAGGUUCGGAAUAACUCCCCGAAAGGGGUGCUAAUACCGGAUAAUGUCUUCGGACCAAAGAUUUAUCGCCUUUGGAUGGGCCCGCGUUGGAUUAGCUAGUUGGUAGGGUAAAAGCCUACCAAGGCGACGAUCCAUAGCUGGUCUGAGAGGAUGAUCAGCCACACUGGGACUGAGACACGGCCCAGACUCCUAAGGGAGGAAGGAGUGGGGAAUAUUGGAAAAGGGGCGGAAGGCUGAUCCAGCAAUGCCGAGUGAGUGAUGAAGGCCUUAGGGUUGUAAAGCUAUUUUAACCGGGAUGAUAAUGACAGUACCGGGAGAAUAAGCUCCGGCUAACUCCGUG
RNAcentral lists this ribosomal RNA (433 nucleotides) under uncultured bacterium. RNAcentral describes it as "partial 16S ribosomal RNA". It matches the Rfam family "Bacterial small subunit ribosomal RNA", at positions 29 to 507 of the family's 1533-position model. The record is from RNAcentral.